Molecule: ribosomal RNA, 586 nt
Filed under: uncultured cyanobacterium
Lineage: Bacteria; Bacillati; Cyanobacteriota
Description: bacterial SSU rRNA
Rfam family: Bacterial small subunit ribosomal RNA
Source: RNAcentral
AGAGUUUGAUCCUGGCUCAGGAUGAACGCUGGCGGUCUGCUUAACACAUGCAAGUCGAACGAACUCUUCGGAGUGAGUGGCGGAUGGGUGAGUAACGCGUGAGAAUCUACCUGUGGGUCGGGGACAACCACUGGAAACGGUGGCUAAUACCGGAUGAGCCGAAAGGUAAAAGAUUUAUUGCCCACAGAUGAGCUCGCGUCUGAUUAGCUAGUUGGUAAGGUAAAAGCGUACCAAGGCGACGAUCAGUAGCUGGUCUGAGAGGAUGAGCAGCCACACUGGGACUGAGACACGGCCCAGACUCCUACGGGAGGCAGCAGUGGGGAAUUUUCCGCAAUGGGCGAAAGCCUGACGGAGCAAGACCGCGUGGGGGAGGAAGGUUUUUGGAUCGUAAACCCCUUUUGUCAAGGAAGAAGCUCUGACGGUACUUGACGAAUAAGCCUCGGCUAACUCCGUGCCAGCAGCCGCGGUAAUACGGAGGAGGCAAGCGUUAUCCGGAAUGAUUGGGCGUAAAGCGUCUGUAGGUGGCCAGCUAAGUCUGCUGUUAAAGAUCACAGCUCAACUGUGGGAAGGCAGUGGAAACUGGCAA